AUUCAGUCUGGAAGUGCGGGCGGUGCUGGUCGGAAAUGCGGACGGCAGGGAUUCCCCCRGAGGGGACCGUCCGACCGCAUCGAGCGCUCGCCUGUCAGACGCAUUUGUCUCCCGUCCGAAGGACGCCGCAGCCGGUUGGGUAACGCAAACUCGACGGCCUGAGAGGCGGAAGAUGGCAGGUGGCCGGUGGUUCGCCCUCCGAGGCGGGCCAGCCGGUUGUUAGCCGUUCCGCCGGUGGCUGUCACCCGACCGUGGUGUCGCCAGGCCCCCAGCGGGCCGAUAACCGUCUCCUCCUCGAGAAGCGGGACCGAAGGGCGCGAGCGAGACACGCUGCCCUGUCGCACCGCCUCAGCGGUGGACGGGCGUGCGGGAGAUCUCGUGGACUGCGUCCGCGGACCCGCGGGAGGCACGAGGCUUGCGGCGAGUAGGUCGGUCACCCACCCGACCCGUCUUGAAACACGGACCAAGGAGUCUAACAUGUGCGCGAGUCAAUGGGACUUGUGUAGGCCCAGAGGCGCAAUGAAAGCGAAGGUGCGGCCUGAGCCCGCCGAGUUGGGAUCCCCUGUGACAGGGGGCGCACCAACGACCCGUCCUAUCCGGCACGUCCGGUUGGGCGGAGUGUGAGCGUACACGUUGGGACCCGAAAGAUGGUGAACUAUGCCCGGACAGGACGAAGCCAGAGGAAACUCUGGUGGAGGUCCGCAGCGGUUCUGACGUGCAAAU
Molecule: ribosomal RNA, 723 nt
Filed under: Mallos pallidus
Lineage: Eukaryota; Metazoa; Arthropoda; Arachnida; Araneae; Dictynidae
Description: eukaryotic LSU rRNA
Rfam family: Eukaryotic large subunit ribosomal RNA (bases 463-723)
Source: RNAcentral